This 918-nucleotide ribosomal RNA is filed under the name uncultured bacterium. RNAcentral describes it as "bacterial SSU rRNA". It matches the Rfam family "Bacterial small subunit ribosomal RNA", at positions 33 to 933 of the family's 1533-position model. The record is from RNAcentral.
ACGCUGGCGGCGUGCCUAAUACAUGCAAGUAGAACGCUGAAGGAGGAGCUUGCUUCUCUGGAUGAGUUGCGAACGGGUGAGUAACGCGUAGGUAACCUGCCUGGUAGCGGGGGAUAACUAUUGGAAACGAUAGCUAAUACCGCAUAACAGUAGAUGUUGCAUGACAUUUGCUUAAAAGGUGCAAUUGCAUCACUACCAGAUGGACCUGCGUUGUAUUAGCUAGUUGGUGGGGUAACGGCUCACCAAGGCGACGAUACAUAGCCGACCUGAGAGGGUGAUCGGCCACACUGGGACCGAGACACGGCCCAGACUCCUACGGGAGGCAGCAGUAGGGAAUCUUCGGCAAUGGACGGAAGUCUGACCGAGCGACGCCGCGUGAGUGAAGAAGGUUUUCGGAUCGUAAAGCUCUGUUGUAAGAGAGGAACGAGUGUGAGAGUGGAAAGUUCACACUGUGACGGUAUCUUACCAGAAAGGGACGGCUAACUACGUGCCAGCAGCCGCGGUAAUACGUAGGUCCCGAGCGUUGUCCGGAUUUAUUGGGCGUAAAGCGAGCGCAGGCGGUUAGAUAAGUCUGAAGUUAAAGGCUGUGGCUUAACCAUAGUACGCUUUGGAAACUGUUUAACUUGAGUGCAAGAGGGGAGAGUGGAAUUCCAUGUGUAGCGGUGAAAUGCGUAGAUAUAUGGAGGAACACCGGUGGCGAAAGCGGCUCUCUGGCUUGUAACUGACGCUGAGGCUCGAAAGCGUGGGGAGCAAACAGGAUUAGAUACCCUGGUAGUCCACGCCGUAAACGAUGAGUGCUAGGUGUUAGACCCUUUCCGGGGUUUAGUGCCGCAGCUAACGCAUUAAGCACUCCGCCUGGGGAGUACGACCGCAAGGUUGAAACUCAAAGGAAUUGACGGGGGGCCCCGCACAAGCGGU